This 669-nucleotide ribosomal RNA is filed under the name uncultured Psychrobacter sp. RNAcentral's name for it is "partial 16S ribosomal RNA". It matches the Rfam family "Bacterial small subunit ribosomal RNA", at positions 688 to 1350 of the family's 1533-position model. The record is from RNAcentral. Lineage: Bacteria; Pseudomonadati; Pseudomonadota; Gammaproteobacteria; Moraxellales; Moraxellaceae.
UCAUUUCCNCNGGNGNANUNGNNAUGGGCGNANGCAGCCUUCUGGCAUCAUACUGACACNGUAGGCUCGAAAGCGUGGGUAGNGGGCNGACUUNNAUACCCUGGNAGUCCACGCCGUAAACGANGNCNACAAAAAUAAGAUUGGGUCCCUUGAGGACUUAGUGACGCAGCUAACGCAAUAAGUAGACCGCCUGGGGAGUACGGCCGCAAGGUUAAAACUCAAAUGAAUUGACGGGGGCCCGCACAAGCAGUGGAGCAUGUGGUUUNAUUUGAUGCUACGCUAAAAACCUUAACCUGGUCUUGACAUAUCUAGAAUCCUGCAGAGAUGCGGGAGUGCCUUCGGGAAUUAGAAUACAGGUGCUGCAUGGCUGUCGUCAGCUCGUGUCGUGAGAUGUUGGGUUAAGUCCCGCAACGAGCGCAACCCUUGUCCUUAGUUACCAGCGGGUUAAGCCGGGAACUCUAAGGAUACUGCCAGUGACAAACUGGAGGAAGGCGGGGAGGACGUCAAGUCAUCAUGGCCCUUACGACCAGGGCUACACACGUGCUACAAUGGUAGGUACAGAGGGCAGCUACACAGCGAUGUGAUGCGAAUCUCAAAAAGCCUAUCGUAGUCCAGAUUGGAGUCUGCAACUCGACUCCAUGAAGUAGGAAUCGCUAGUAAUCGCGGAUC